AUCAUAGUUGAUAGUUCUCUUUUUGUAUAUGGCUAGCAAUGCGGAAUCGACUCUCUACAUUAGAUUCAAUGAAGGCUUGGAAUGUGAACUUGAAUCGAACAUGUGUGUUAUGUAACACUCUUAUCGAGACACGAGAGCACUUGUUUUUCAGCUGUAAGUACUCGUCGGCAGUCUGGUCCUCCCUAGCGAAACCACUACUCUAGUGACGAUUCUCUACAAUAUGGCAAGCUCUAGUCAUUAUUAUUACUUCUGAUCACUGUAACAGAAUCCAUAUAUUCUUCCUCUAAUACAGUUUUCAAAUAAUGGUUCAUUCGAUUUGGCGAGAACGCAAUAAAAAAAACACACAAUAAAACUCUGAUUCUUAUCACACAUCUUCCUAAGUGAAUAGAU
RNAcentral lists this small RNA (390 nucleotides) under Arabidopsis thaliana (thale cress). RNAcentral describes it as "ATSL145380". Lineage: Eukaryota; Viridiplantae; Streptophyta; Magnoliopsida; Brassicales; Brassicaceae. The record is from RNAcentral.